Long non-coding RNA from Capra hircus (goat), 1572 nucleotides. NCBI's taxonomy places the organism in Eukaryota, Metazoa, Chordata, Mammalia, Artiodactyla, Bovidae. The record is from Ensembl.
AUGGCGAUAAAAUUGAACUUUGUUACACCUAACAAAAAUACAAUAAUUUUCUUUAUUAAAAGUGCUCUAUGUAUACUGUCUCCUGUUGUUGUAAUAGCUGCUGCUGCUGCUAAGUCGCUUCAGUCAUGUCGGACUAUUUACAACCCCAUAGAUGGCAGCCCACAAGGAAUAAUACUGUCAAAGACUGAUGGGAUUUUUACAAAUUCUUUGUUGACUCUGGUUGCUCAGGAACCCAAGACAAUAGGGUGUGAUCGCUUUGUCUUCUGCUGAUUCCUCUGCAAGAGGAAGAACGAAGUCCUGGGGAUUUGUGUUAUGCACUUGAAUGCGCUGGACUGGAAGCAGCACAGAUCACUUGGCCGACAAUGUAUGAGCCUAAACUGCGAGGAGCAGCAAGUAAAAUCCUACCAUUUGCACCAAGAAUAGGUGGGAACUGAAGCCUUUGUCUAACAACAUGGUGACAGGCUGUGUGGUUUUUCUCCAUAAAAUUAUUCUAUCCUAACAUAUCAUAAUUUACUUAUUUAUUUGGUUAUUGUCUUUCUUUCCAUACUAGAAUGUAGGUUCCCUGUAGGCAGAUAUUUCUGUCCAUUGAGUUCACCUCUGUAUACUAAACACCCAGAGACAGUAGAAUUGGGCACAGCAGUUACUUGUUAAUAUAUGAAGGGAAUAUGCGGUAUCAGCAUAGGAAGCAGCUGCAGCAUUUCAUCUUCAUAAUGGUGACCACAUAAAUUACAUUUUCAAAGAUAGUAAGUACUUAAAGAGGUAUAGCCCAGAUAAUACAAUGACAAAUAUGAAAAAUAAGUAUAAAUGUCUAAAAGGCUUUAACUUACAGUAUUCUGAAUCACUAUUACCAUUCCAAAUCCAUAGUACUAUUAAUAAUAGAUACAUGAGUUAGGUAGUUAGAAUACAGGAAAAAGUUCAAAAUGGCGGUUAAAAAGUGGCAGCCAAAAGGCAGAAAAAGAAAGGAAAAAGCCCAUGAAAAGAGGAUGACAGAAAAUUCUGAAGACUGGAGUGGGAACCUCUGGUGGGAAAAAACAUACUUCCUUCCCCAUCAACAGCAGGUACAAGCCCUGUUUUGCACAGGGCAGGUUCCAGGAGGAGGAGAUAAAAAGUAUAAAAAUGGGAAGACAAGAGGGGUUGAGGCCACUCCUUUGGGGUCGGCCUGCCCUCACCUCUUGAGCUAAAAUAAAAUCUUGAGCUGUAACACUGGUCCAUUGUUUCAAAUCUUUGCUGCAAAGAGAUCAAACCAAGUGAAAGAAACACACUCACCUGAAAAUAUAUCUGACUCAGCUAUCGAGUACAAAUGUUCUGGUAUCAGGCAAAGCCAAGUUUAAAUCUUGGCUGCCCAAAUUAUUAGCUCUGCGUUUUGGAUUAUAAUGGUAUUAAACCAAACCCUCUUUUUAUGGGGCUUCCCUGGUAGCUCAUCUGGUAACGAAUCCACCUGCAAUGCAGGAGACCUGGGUUUGAUCCCUGAGUUGGGAAGAUCCCCUGGAGGAGGACAUGGCAACCCACCCCAGUAUUCUUGCCUGGAGAAUCCCUAUGGAGAGAGGAGCCUGGAGGGCUGCAGUCCAUGCU